UUGGACUGCCAAAAUGUCCUAAAUACAUCAGAUCCUGUUUGAUCUUAAAGGUGAAGCAGGAUCAUCUCUGGUUACUACUUGGAUAAGAGGCUACGAAUGAAUACUAGAUGCUGUAAGAU
This 119-nucleotide ribosomal RNA is filed under the name Anolis carolinensis (green anole). The record is from RNAcentral. Lineage: Eukaryota; Metazoa; Chordata; Lepidosauria; Squamata; Anolidae.